ACACGUAAGGGGCGAGCGUUGUUCGGAAUUAUUGGGCGUAAAGGGCGCGUAGGCGGUACUGCAAGUCAGGUGUGAAAGACCUCAGCUUAACUGAGGGAACGCGCUUGAAACUGUAGUACUAGAGUCUAAGAGGGGAAGCUGGAAUUCCUAGUGUAGGGGUGAAAUCUGUAGAUAUUAGGAAGAACACCGGUGGCGAAGGCGAGCUUCUGGCUAUAGACUGACGCUGAGGCGCGAAAGCGUGGGGAGCGAACAGGAUUAGAUACCCUGGUAGUCCACGCCGUAAACGAUGUACACUGGGUGUUGGCCCGUUGGGGUCAGUGCCGAAGCUAACGCGAUAAGUGUACCGCCUGGGGAGUAUGCUCGCAAGGGUGAA
Molecule: ribosomal RNA, 373 nt
Filed under: uncultured bacterium
Lineage: Bacteria
Description: bacterial SSU rRNA
Rfam family: Bacterial small subunit ribosomal RNA
Source: RNAcentral